UUAAUAAAAUUCUUAUAUUAUCUUUCAUGAAAAAUGGAGUGUUAUAGAUAACCCACACAAACAAAACAACAAUAACAAAAAUGCAAUAUAAAGACAAACACCUUGAAUGGGAGAUUAGGUCUUUUAUUUAAAGGGAAGAUUGUUGGUAUACAAAAAUCUUUACAUCGUUAAGAUUAAAUAAUAAAUAAAAGUUUAUAAAACACACACGUAGAACAAAAUAUGGAGAGCUGUGUGUAAAUAAUAGAUAAAAAUAAGAUAUAACAUUCCUCCUCUAAAUAUAUUCCUCUAGAUAUCCUGCCUUGUGUAUGCAGCCGCGUUAAAUCUUGGGGCCAGCUAUCCCACCCUUUGAGGUGCCUCCAACGUAGCGAGGAGAUUAGUCACUGCUGUCGGCGGUGGAUACUCCAGGAACGAACCUAAAAAAAAUAUAUCCCUCUCAAAACAAUUACAAACAUAACCUUUCAUACAUUAAUAACAUAUAAAUCCUCCUAAUUUAAGUGUUAAAACAGUUUCUAAUGAUAUAAAUACGUUAUUACAGAUAUUUAAAUAUUAAAUUGCUACUAUUUUCUAGCAAUAAUUGUCAUAACUACCCCUAACACUCAGUUCCUAUCGUCACUUCCAGCUGAAAAUUCAGCCUUGUUUUCAAGGUUGAAAGCAGGAAAUUAGUUCUUCAUCAUUAUCUAUAUCAUCUUUAAUAGAAAUUACUUCAUCUUCGAUAUCUCCCAAAAUUACCAAUUUUAACUGUUUCUCUACACAUGGACUUUAGUUUCAAUAAGCUGGUUGGUAAAAUACCAGACACUCCACAUGCAGGGCAUCUGAGAUUUCUCUUCCUAACUGGCAACAUGCUAAGUGGCAAUAUACCCGACUCAGUCUUGCUGGAUGGAAGCAGUGUGUAUGUUUCUCACUAGGUCAAUUUAACUUCAAUAUUGCGAUGUAUCUUUUAUUGUUCCAAUGCAAGUGUAUUCUGAGCUGUUAUUCUCACAACAAGUAGGAUGAAAUUUAAAUUUUAAGCCCACUGACUCUAUCAUUUUGCUGCUGUCUGUUGGAAUUCCUAAUUUGUUUUGCUCUAUAGUGAUAAAAUGAUUUUGAUUUUGUUACAAAUUGUUCUUGUUUAUACAUUUCUUUAUUCCUCUGCCCA
This is a non-coding RNA of Cajanus cajan (pigeon pea), 1135 nucleotides long. NCBI's taxonomy places the organism in Eukaryota, Viridiplantae, Streptophyta, Magnoliopsida, Fabales, Fabaceae. The record is from RefSeq and is a predicted model, not a curated record.